RNAcentral lists this unclassified non-coding RNA (1142 nucleotides) under Zea mays. Its description in RNAcentral is "misc RNA Zm00001eb123640". Lineage: Eukaryota; Viridiplantae; Streptophyta; Magnoliopsida; Poales; Poaceae. The record is from RNAcentral.
CGUCACGAGCCCCUGCCACACCGAUCCUCCCAGCUGCAUCUGCAUUGCAUUGCAUGCACAGGUCGCGCCCACCAUCAGUAGCGGUCGCCGCCAUGCAGAGACUCGUGCGCGUCCUCGUGGUGCUGGGCGUGGCCGCCGCGGCGUCGGCGCAGGGCCCGACGGCGGCGCCAACGACGCCCACGCCGGCAACCCCCGCGGCGCCCGCGCCCGCGACGGCGUCCAGCAACAUCACGGGCGUGCUGGCCAAGGCCGGGCAGUUCAACACCUUCAUCCGGCUGCUCAAGUCCACGGGCGUGGCGUCGCAGAUCGACAACCAGGUCGCCAACGGCGGGAACGGGGUCACGGUGUUCGCGCCCACGGACAACGCGUUCCAGUCGCUGCCCUCGGGCACGCUCAACUCGCUGUCGGACCAGGACAAGAACGCGCUGGUGCAGUACCACGUGGUGUCCACCGCCAUCCCCAUGUCGCAGUUCGACACCGUCAGCAACCCGCUCCGCACGCAGGCCGGCAGCGCCUCGCCGGGGGAGUUCCCACUCAACGUCACCUCCUCCGAGGGCCAGCAGGUCAACGUCACCACGGGCGUCGUCACCGCCACCGUCGACAACUCCCUCUACUCGGGCGACAGCCUCGUCGUCUACCAGGUCAACAAGGUGCUGCUCCCCAUGAAGCUCUUCGGCGCCGCGGAGGCGCCCGCGCCCGCGCCGCUCGCGCCGGCCAAGAAGAAGGGCAAGACGCCGGCGGCCGUCGCCGACUCGCCCGACGCGGCGGAGGCGUCCCCGGACGCCACGACCACGUCGCUCGCGCCCGCGAGGCUGACGCGGGGUGGCCUCGCCACGGCUCUUGCGCUCGCCGGCGUUUGGUGGGGGCUGUAGUCACGGCGAGGAGUGUCUCGUCAGGUCUCUCCGGUGGCCGUGACAUCUAUACUUUUUUUUUCGUUCGCGGGUCUUGUUUGUCUUUUCGUUUUUACUUUAUUGCCCAUUUUUGGAUGAAUUGUUCUUCCCUGUCAUUCAAAUUGCUAGGAGUAUGUCAUGUCAUGUAACGUCCUUGUCCCAUUUUUAUGUAAUGUUAACUAAAUAAAUAUGAGUUGUGUAUAUUUCAGUACCCCGGUUCUAUUUGCUCAGCUCUUAUACGCACACAAACAU